Molecule: ribosomal RNA, 112 nt
Filed under: uncultured bacterium
Lineage: Bacteria
Description: partial 16S ribosomal RNA
Rfam family: Bacterial small subunit ribosomal RNA
Source: RNAcentral
GGGGAAUUUUGGACAAUGGGGGGCAACCCUGAUCCAGCCAUUCCGCGUGAGUGAAGAAGGCCUCGGGUUGGUAAAGCUCUUUCGGUCAGGAACGAAACGGUGAGGGUUAAUA